CACAUCUUCAGGUGGACCAGGAUGUCUCUGUUUUUAAAAAGUAGGUUGACCUACUUGCAAUUCCUUUUUUUGCUAAUCUACUUUCACCUAAUUUAAAGUUUGAUUUUGAAUCAAAGUAUACAUUUUUGUGUCAGGGUCAUUGCUGCAGGAUCCAGGGUACCAGGGUCAUUGCUGCAUAUUUUAAUACACGUUUAGACUGUCAUUUCACAGAAUAUCACAUAUCACCAGGAGUAAAAAAGACUGUUAUCAUGUAUGACAUAGUAAUUGGUUGGGGGAAAAACAUUAUUUUUUUUUAUUUUUUUAAAGUUGAUCAAGAUCUGUUAACCAGUAACUGAGAUAGUUUAAGGCCCAACAAUUAUUUGUUGAGUACAUCGUUUACAAAACGUGCAUUUCUAAAUAUUGCUAUUGUCCUAACAUCUGCUUCUCCUUUCUGAAGUCUUUCUUAACACUCAGGGCAUCACACCUCACAUCAGUUCCAUUUCACAGCAGUCUGCACCAAAUGUCCUGACAGCACUCAGUGGAUUUAAGGCUGUGGAUUUCUAACCACAGGGUAGCAUGCUUAUUACAGUACCCAAGCUGCUUACAGCCACAGCUGAUAGCAUUAAGCUGAUUACAUUCCUCAAGAAAGCCGGUGGUCUUGCAUCAAAAUUCCCAAUGGUCAGCUUAACAGCACAAGUAUGUAUGCCUCGGGUGUUUGAUUGUAGAAUGUUCUGACAUCCAUAUGUAGCCCUUGAAAUGCUCACUGUGCCAUUACAGAACCCUUACCUGAGUUCUGUAGUAUUUGUACCACUGUAAAGAUGCAGCCCGCAAUUCUGGCAACAGGUUGUUUUCCUGAAGCAACAUGUUGAUUGGUUGGAAUACUGUGUGGCUUGAUCCAAGCCACGAUUGUUUCCCAUUUACCGAGCCAGAAUUGUCUAAAAUGAUGCUGACCACACACACAGAACGGACAGCUGAGUGAUUAUUUGACAAAAAGUGUAUUGGAUUAAAUAGACUAGUGACUGCACAUUUAACUGGACUGCAUACUACAUUCACCCUAUUUACUAGUGUAAGUAAGUGGGCUGAAUGGGGACAGUAACAGUAUAAAGUAAAUAUAAACAUAAAUAAUAAAUAAACAUAAAUACAUUGGCAUCAGGCAGUGUAGAUAUGUGAUAUUAAUAUGUAAAGUUAACCUCACACCUUAACAAUGUUUACCUUGCACUAAAAGGUGAGGCUGUGUAUGAUUUAAACGAAAGGCUGCAGAACAGAGGUAUCCAUCUCGUCUGAAAACACCCUGGGGUUCGUACACAGCCCUGCCUCUGUAAAUGGAAAACAAACAUAGUGGCUCGGACCAAGCCAUAAACAAUCCCAGCCAAUCAAGAUGGCGCCUCUGGAGUAUGGAAGGGAGCGGUGUAAUUUGAUUCGCUGUUGAGCUCAAAUAUCAACAACCUUUCGUGGAACUGAAACCUAAUCAGACUGCAUCUUUAACAUGGGGUUGGGCAGGACUUGCAUUUAUCAAUGGAAAUUCUCAGACCAUUUUCUCCAUCAGUCUUUGAAAUGAGGCUCCAGUAGCCCUUUGUGGCAUACACUCAAACAGGGUAAAACCCCAUUCAGAAUAUGAAUACAGUUUUCUCUUUGUCUCUUUGAAUGCAGGGUUCCCACCCUGGGUUUCAAGUGGCCUUAAUGAAGUUUCCAUGACCUUUCAUAACCUACAGGUACACAAAAUUGCAUACUUUACACUCCACAGGUUAACCCUAAUUAUUAAAGGAAAAUUAAACAAGCCCUUUUCUAAUAAGCUAGGCCACCUCAAGUGGAAACCAUCACGCUGCAGAAAUUCACACAAAGAAACAUUAUCCACGUAAGAGUGCAAGAACAUAAUUCAUUUCAAUAUACUUACUUGUGUGUCAAAAUCUAAUUUCAUGACUUUCAGUGAAUUUACUGAAUUCCAUGUCUUUACCAGGCCUAGAAAAUAGGAUUUUCCAGGAUUUCCAUGACCAUGGGAAGCCUGAGAAUGUGAUGUCAAGAAUGGAUGGAACUUCUCGCAAUGCUCAGGUGAAGUGAUUCAGACAGUUCACAUUUUGUCAUUGAGUCCAACUACAGACCUUCUCAAGCAGUGAAGAUGAAACACCGAACACUUGAUGAUACAACUGAAGAAGAAACAACUGGUACCAGAAAGGCUGCAUACUAUGGUGUUAUUGUGUCUCAUUCCUGAGGGUGUGGUGGGCAUUUGAGCACAGAAAAGUAUAAAAGCAGAUAAAACCAGCUCACAGGUCCAAAAUAGAAGGCUCUGUUCCCAGUUAAUUUCACAGGUCAACUGUUCAUACAAUUAGGCGCUGCCUUUGAGAUUGGACAGUAGAUUGAGAGAUGAGAGCGAGAGACAGGAGUGGGAUCAGGAAACUACAGCAGGUUAGUAUGAAGCCUGGGUCCCCAAGAGCUGUAGAGCAGUCAUGGCCCCAGUCACAGGUUUCCUAACUUGUAUGUCAGUGCUCACAGGAUUUCACUUUUAUUGCAUCGAGUUACUACUAUGAGGCCUUUAUUUUCAAUAUAGUAUUUCUUAAGUAUGUUUGUUCAUAAGUGGAAACUACUUGUCAACUCAGAAACAAUUAGGCCGCUUUAGUGAGGUGAUUCAUGAUAUCAUUUAACACUGAAAGAGCAUAUUGCAGCAUUUCAAGGUAACCAUUUGGUAUUAAGUGUAUUUAUAUAAAAAUAUAUUAAAAAUACCCAUUCCUACCUCCCUCCAUUUUGAACACUACAGUAAUCUAUGUCAAGCUGGGUAGAGCAUCACAUUAUCCAAGCAAUUUGAAGUCGUUUUAGUGCAAUACUUGUUUGAAUCAUGAAUUUCUGAGCUAAAGAAAAAAACAAACACCCAUGGAUUUUGGAAUGAACAAACCAUUUUUAAUCAGAAGUAAACAAAAACAGCUUGGCAUAUUUCAUGAAUCACAAAAUUGUUUAUAGAAGUGCCAUUUUACCCAAGAAGCUUACCGACAGUCACUCAGAAGUUCUCCACGAUGGCAGGACACUCCAGACUCCUGGACACAUGGAGAUAUCGAAACACAUAAAAAAAGUAGUUUAAUGUCAUUAAAAUAUUUAAGCAGCAGUGAAUCGUAAGAAACAGAACUUCCAUACAAACAUUUCACAUCUACCUACAAUAGUAGGCUACAGGUACGAUCAAACUUGACAAAAUAAAGUGAUAGAAAAUCUUGUCUGCAGUAUCAUACAAGAGCAUCAAACAGCUUUAUACAUGCUCACACCUGCUACUGCCAGAGUCAGCGUCUUUGCUGCCCCUGUUAUCUAGGUCUGACUGGACAAGCUGCAGUUUACAACCAAACAAGUUUGGCAACACUGAAGCUUUUGUCCCAGACCAAAUAAGACAAGACUAAUAAGUUAGGACACUUACCAGCCAUUCCAAUUAGUCUUCAAACCAUCUACAGCCGUUUUCCCAUCAGCUGUGUGUUUCAUGAUCAGACCUUUAACAGAUAAGCAGCAGGGAAUCGUAAGUGACAGAACUUCCAUACAAACAUUUCAAAUCUCUCUACAAUAGUAAAACUACAGGUACGAUCAAAAGUGACAAAAUAAAGUGAUAUAAAAUAUUGUCUGCAGUAUCAUACAAGAGCAUCAAACAGCUUUAUACAUGCUCACACCUGCUACUGCCAGAAUCAGCGUCUUCGCUGCCCCUGUUAUCUAGGUCUGACUGGACAAACUGCAGUUUACAACCAAACAAGUUUGGCAACACUGAAGCUUUUGUCCCAGACCAAAUAAGACAAGACUAAUAAGUUAAGACACUUACCAGCUAUUCCAAUUAGUCUUCAAACCAUCUACAGCCGUUUUCCAUCAGCUGUGUGCUUCAUUAUCAGCCCUUUAACAGAUAAUGAGAAAUGGCUCACUACCACAGCAAAGACUUGUUCGUUUUCAAACCAGUUUUGCCCGAAGUGCCCAAUUAGUGCCGAGAGGGGUCCUCUAUUGCAAGAGUUACAAAUAUCUAUAGAUACUAAUCAUGCGUUCAAGCAGCUGGGAAUUGGGGUCUAGUUAGCCAGAAGGUUAACGUUACCCACACAAAAGUAAAUAGUCAAGUAUCGU
Long non-coding RNA from Clupea harengus (Atlantic herring), 4053 nucleotides. The record is from Ensembl. NCBI's taxonomy places the organism in Eukaryota, Metazoa, Chordata, Actinopteri, Clupeiformes, Clupeidae.